UGAAAUCCUGCAGCUUAACUGUAGAACUGCCUUUGAUACUGGUUGACUUGAGUUGUACGGAAGUAGAUAGAAUGUGUAGUGUAGCGGUGAAAUGCAUAGAUAUUACUACAGAAUACCGAUUGCGAAGGCAGUCUACUACGUAUAUACUGACGCUCCAUGGACGAAAGCGUGGGGACGCGAACAGGAUUAGACUACCCUGGUAG
This 203-nucleotide ribosomal RNA is filed under the name uncultured bacterium. RNAcentral describes it as "partial 16S ribosomal RNA". It matches the Rfam family "Bacterial small subunit ribosomal RNA", at positions 595 to 793 of the family's 1533-position model. The record is from RNAcentral.